ACAGAGUAACGGGAUCAAGGCAUUUGUUGAUAAGAAAGAUGUUUUUGCCGAAGCAACUGAAAUGGGCAUCACGACGAUGCAACUCGGCGUGCACAACGAGGUGGAUAUAGCCAGCGGUCAUUGCCAGAUCCUUUUUUGAAGCCCGGAAUCCUGGCUGCUGAACAACAAGUGGAGGGACAUGCUAGGCUCCUAUGUUUUUCAAGCCAACGUAAUGGGUAUCGUCAUGGGCCGAAGUUCAUCUAACUUACAAAUGUGGUCAGGCUUUAAAAGGGCAGACGCCAUUUCGCGACAGCUUCGCCAAGUUGGGGGACCUUAGAUCCUUAGUUAAAGCUGCUAAGUACACCUGUGCUGGCAUUGACCGCUUCUGCUGAUCGGGAAUCCAGAGCCAGGGUUAUGAAACGGCUUCAGAUGGACAAUCCAAUCAUUUUGGCUCUGAGCCCAAACAGAACAAACAUCAGACUGGGUCUGAUUAAAGUACCUGGCCAUACACUGGAGUGCCUACACUGGAUUGUGAGGGAUGUUAGUACAAAGCUCGACCCAGCAGUUAAGACGGUACUUUAUAAUGGAGUCACUAGUUGUCUGCGGAAAGCUUUGUUACUGCUAUUUUGAGGAACACACCACAUCUGUUGAUCUAGGACAUCUGUGCUGCACUCACUGCCAUUCUGUUUGUUCUUGUGAACCUGAAGGUUGUGGGGAGCUAAUCCCCAAAUAUGAACACUUUCAAGGGGAGGUUUCAUCACACCACAAACACAGAAUAGUCACACCUGAGGGCACACUUUUGAUCAGGGAACUGUUACAAACUUACAGGAGUAGUUUACUUCAGGACCAUACAAACAUACCACUUUACACAGUCGACACAGCCUGCACUGGUUUUGGAGAUGAACUCAUUGAUCGGUUUUAGAACAGUGCACACAGAUAUUUGACCUGGACUUCAUUAUCCAUAAUCUCCCUACAUACAAACUGGAACAUGCAAAAGAGAUACUAUGAAUUAUGCAUGAGGUUUUUGAUGACAUCGAACAGAGUCAAACUAAUUUGUUUGAUGACAGUGUUGUUCAGGAUGACCGUGUUCAGGUUGACAUGGAUUACACUGGUUACUUUGAUGACGAGGAUGAGGAUGAUAAGAUACAAUCAUCACCAAGUAACUUGGAAUCAGGCUUGUCAAUGUUGAAGAUCUCAGACUAGCUUCAAAUUCAGGCUCAAAUUUGUAGCUUCAGGGUCUUGUUGUUGUGCAAAUGCCUUUUUUUUUACCUCUGUUACAUUAAUAUUUUUGAAUAA
Molecule: long non-coding RNA, 1275 nt
Organism: Alosa alosa (allis shad)
Lineage: Eukaryota; Metazoa; Chordata; Actinopteri; Clupeiformes; Clupeidae
Exons: 3
Source: RefSeq, a predicted model, not a curated record